CUAUUUACAGGAAGACAUUUGAGCAAUCCAACUAAUAUAUCCAACUUAAGGUCUGGCUCAGCGGCAAGUUCCCACCCAACAUGAAGUACAGCAUCAUUUUCCAUGUGUUACAAAACCUGUGAGUCUCUCGCAGCACUUUCUAUGGUGAGGAGGAUUUCUCGGGCUCACUUAAAGUCGAUGUCAACCUCGGAAGUAAAAUCUGAGGCGCUCUACAUACUGGCUCCAGUCUUCCAUAGUGGCAUCAUAAGGAUCGAUUCAGCCAAAGAGUGGUGUGACUGAGCGAAUUUACGGAGAUGUUACAAGAGAUCUUGGAGCAGAAACUAGUCCGAGCACCUAGAGAACAUGAACGUGGCAGUGAGAGCAGCACCUGGGCUGCAGGUCAUCUCACAGUUAAAUAUGUUUUGUGUCUGUUUUAUACGCAAAAUACAGGUGCAAUGCAUACCAGUUUCUACUCCCCUGAGUGAUAUCUGAAUGAUCAAGCUUUCCAAACAUUUCCUCAACAAUAAAAAUGCUGCUGGGGUUCUGCCUGCUGGUGAUUGAGCUUUACAGAGUGACAAGUGUUGUGGUCAGCCCUAUAGAACUGAGCCUGUGGCAUGGCGGUGAAAUUAGUAACAUUAGCGUCAUUACUGCUAUAUCCACCUACUCCUCCCAAUCACUAUGCUCCUCGUUUAGGUUGAUAUUUGACCUGGUGCUUGGUGUGUGACUUACGUGAAGGUUGUGCUUAAUGUAUUUGCAGUGGGCCAAGAAUGGGGUCGGAUUUCAAAGAAUUUUUUUCUGGGUCACCUUGACCCACAGUUCCUCAAAUCACUUUGACCGGUGGGAGGAAUCUUCAAGUUGCUACCUGUAUGGAUUGCAGGAAUAGGAUUUGGGCAGGAUGAACAGCAACAACUUGCAUUUACAUAGCAUCUUUCACAUAGUAAAACGUCCCAAAGUACUUCACAGGAACAGUGAUUACACAAAAUUUGACUGCAAGUCACUUAAAACGUAUUAGGACAGGUGGCCAAGGAGCUAAAUUUAAAGGAUCAUCUUAAAGGUGAAAAAGGUAGACAGGCAGGGAGGUUUAGGGAGAUGGUGGAGCAAAGAAAAUCAGGGAUGUGCAAAAGGCCAGAGAUGGAAGAUUCAGCCCAGGUUGUCGGGCUGGAGGAGGUUUCAGAGAUCGGGAGGGACAAGGACAUGGAAGGCUUUGAAAACAAGGAUGAGAAAUUUAAAAUCUAGGCAUUGCUGAACCUGGAGCCAUUCUAGGUCAGAGAGUGCAGGAAUGAUAGAUGAACAGGACUAGGGGUGAGUUUGAAUACAGCCAUCGGCCUUUGGAUGAACUGAGAUUUACGGAAGGUGCAAGAUGGGAGGCCACCAGUGGAGAAUUAGAGGGUCGAGCCCAGUGCUAACAAGGGUAUGGAUGAGGGUUUCAGCAGCAGAUGAGCUGUGGCAGGAAUAGAGAUGAUGUUAUGGAGGUAUAAGUAGGCAGUCUUGGUGAUGGAGUGGAUAUAUGUUCAGAAGCUCGACUCCGAGUCAAGUAGGAUGCCAAGGUCACGAAUAGUCUGGUUGAGCCUCAGACAGUGUUCAGGGAAAGAGAUGGAGUUGGUGGUUAGGGAAUGAAGUUUGGGCCUGGGAUUAAAGUCAAUGGCUUUGGUCCUCCCCAUAUUCAACUGGAGGAAAUUUCUGCUCAUCCAAUACUGAAUGUUAAACAAGCAUAGUGACAUAUCCAGGCUAUCAGAGGAAUCAAAGAGGUGAUAGUGAGGUAUAGCUGGGUAUCAUCAGCAUAUUUGUGGAACUUGACGUGUUUUUUGAUAUCUCCAAGGGGCAGGCUAUAGCUGGGAAAAUGGGAGUGGAUCAAGGAUAUAUCCUCGGUGGACUCCAGUGGUGGGAAUGGGAAGAAAAUCCAUUGCAGCUAAUUCUCUGGCAAUGACUGUAUAGGUAGGAAUGGAUUCAGUUGUGAAGCCCCACCCAGUUCAAUAGAAGAGAGGCACAAGCGUUUGUCAAGGCAGUUUGCCAAAUCUGGUCAUGUGAAGAUAACGUCGCAGAGCAGUAAGCUCAGCCUUUGGGCAAAUUUGAAGUAUUGUGCAAUCCCCAUUGUAGCCUCAUUGGCCUGCUUGUGUGUCUGGAAUUCCACCAAUGGCCAGAAUGCAGCAUGCCUUGAGGUUAAUUUGAGUAUUGUUUGUUUCUAAACAUGGAAGUAUAUCGUUGUGUCGCUUGCUCUUGAUGUCACCACUCUCCAUCUCUUAACGAAAAUUAUACUGCCAGCUUUUCAUUAAAAUAUCACUCCUUUAAACUAAUCAGAUAUCAUGAACCAUCACAUUUUGGUGCAUUCAUUUAGUGCAGCUUCAUGUAGAUUGAAAACACACUCUGUUCAUUCUAUCGCACACCCGUGACAUCGUUGUGUGACAUGGCAGUGUCUCAUUUGUCCAAAUGCUUCAAAACGUGUAAAUUGUGGGGAAGACGUUGUACAUUUUGCUGAUCCAGGUGCUGAUCAAAGUAAUGCUCUCCAUUUUAGCAAGGUGGUACUGCAAUGAUUGGAUUCAGAUUCAUGGCUAUGUUCCCCACAGAGUUACUCUCUGAUCUCCGUCAGGCAAUUGUGGG
This is a long non-coding RNA of Carcharodon carcharias (great white shark), 2577 nucleotides long. RefSeq lists it as uncharacterized. The transcript is spliced from 4 exons. The record is from RefSeq and is a predicted model, not a curated record. Lineage: Eukaryota; Metazoa; Chordata; Chondrichthyes; Lamniformes; Lamnidae.